This 9507-nucleotide long non-coding RNA is filed under the name Theobroma cacao (cacao). Its description in RNAcentral is "long non-coding RNA (TCAC_LNC001229)". The record is from RNAcentral. Lineage: Eukaryota; Viridiplantae; Streptophyta; Magnoliopsida; Malvales; Malvaceae.
ACAGGUCUACAAGGACACCUCGUCCUAAUUAUCGGUUACCUCGUGAUCUUAAAACAUGAAUUUGAAAAUGGUGAGUAUAAACUCAGUCAGUGAAUAAGGAGGGGAACAAGCAACAAUUAGGAAAAAUUUAAAAUCAUGAUGAAGUUGUUUCAAAAUAAUGCAAUUUAGUUCAUUCCUAUUUAAAACCCCUCCAAACCCCAGAGUUUUUCGCUACAGUGAGCAUGAAUUUCGCUGCAGUGAAAACAGAGCAACAAGAGAACCAUUUUUCCUCACUCAACAAAAAACCAUCCUGCUAAACUAAAAAAAUGAACCUAAAAUUCAUGAAAAUUCUCAAAGUACAAUGUGUCAACUUUCAUGUACAUUACAACCAUAAAUCAUUGUCCAUCAAUUUGCUAUAUCACACAUAUUUACAUAUGUAUAUGUAUAUAUAUAUAUAUAUGUAUAUACCCAUCAUCAUCAUCUCACCAACCCAUUAUCAUCAUCACCAGCUCAUCAUCAUCAUCACCAACUCAUGCGCACUCCCUACUCGCACAUAACCGGGUCAUCCUCGGCUUAUGCGCACUCCCUACUCGCACAUAGUCGAGUCAUCAUAAUUACACAACAUUAUAUUCAAGCAUAUAUGUAUAUCAACAUAAUGCAACCACAUAGAAAUCCAUAAUAACCACAUUUCAUAACAUAAACUUUUUCUCAAACGCUUGUUCCCAAGGCAUUCAUUUUCAUGAAAAUUUUUUUUCAUAAAAUCAUUCAAACACUUUGUUCAAAACAGUCAUAUUCCCAAAAUAAUUUUGAUAGGCAGUCCACUCACAGGUGUCAAAAAUUCAGAUUUCGGGUGAACUCAGACUAAUAGUCCUCAAGCGCAAUUCCUUUGCCUUUUCCGGAUGUCUCACCACCUUGACAAAUAACAAAGUCGAGGAAUUUACUAUAUUGUCCCUAAAUUGAUAUAAAUUAAUUUAAAUUACUAAUGCUUGAUAUGUAAAUGCAAAAAUACGUCCGAUUACCGUUUAAUCAUGGUAUCGAUUAAAUUCGACCGAUCACCCGAUUAAUCGGCGAUUGUGUCCAAAUCACCUCCAAAUUAAUCCAUUUCUCCUCUAAUAACUUAAUUUACCACAUACAUUUAAAUAAAGCCAAAUUCAGCAUUAGAACCCUCACAGUUCCUUAUAGAAAAAUUUAGUCAUUUGGUGCACUAGCAUCGAAUUUUUUUCUACAUAACCGUUUCACCUUAAUUCAUCAUUUUCCAUGCCAUUUUCCUUGAAAUAAAAACAAUCCCCCAUUGAUAUUCAGCCCUCAUGGUUCGGCCAACAAGGAACCCUAGAGAAAUUGAAUAUUUCUUUUGUGUUUUUGUUCAUAACCAUGCUUAACUAUCCCUAAACACUAACAUAGUCUAAAAUCAAAUUAUUCCAACAACAAUUCCUCUUCCAUACCCAUUUUUCAGAAUUGAAUUCAUCAUGAUAACUCAAUAUUCAACCAUGGAAAUCAAGAACAAAAGCAUGGGUAAGCUAGGUAUCAAGGAGAAUUAAAGAAAUUUUAACUUACCUAGCUUGUUUCCUUGAUUUCUUCACUUUUUCUUUGAAUUUCCACCUAGGUUUUCUUGUUUUUCCUUUUGUUCUUCCUUUUUUCUUGUUGCUGGAUGUCUAGGCCGAAUAUGGUGAGGGAAUUGGGGAUUUAAUGGGCUGAUUUCUAUAGAAAAUAAUAAAAUAAUCAAGCAUGCCAUGUGUCACAUGCUUAUUGGCCUAAUUUUUAACUUUUUGACUUUUUCUUCUUAAUUUUCCACCACAAAUAUUCUGGUAUUUAUCCAAUCCUACCACAAUUAAAAUCCCUUGGUCUUGACAAGUGCUGGGCCGAAAAUUUUACUGAUUUGCCCCCGAGACAAAAAAAUUACGAUUUUGCCCUUAUACUCCGAAAUGUACCGGAAUCUCAUUGUUUCUACUUUUCAACCUAAAAUAACACUAAUAUUGAUCAAUAUUAACCAAAUGGGGCAAAAAUUUUUUAAAAAAAUUUUCGUUUAGUCCUCUAGUGGCAAAAUUACCAUUUUGCCCUUCUGCUCCAUAAAUACCGGGAAUCACAAUUUUUCACUACUAAACAUCAUUUUAUACUCCAAUAAUCAUAAUUAUAUUUCAUAUAAUUAUUCUUGGUCAAAUGUGAUCAAAUCUUGGCUAAAAAUCUCCAUUUUAUCAUCAAAUGGUAAAAUGACCGUUUUGUCCCUAAUUGGUCAAUUUUCUGAUGGACUCCAAACUGGACCUUGAACUCCAAAUCACUAUUCUAAGCCAUUCUGUUGGUUUUAAAAUUUUCAAAUUCCUCUUAGAAUUUCUAUUUGAACUAGUUCAAGGCUCGAUUUAACUUAGUUGUACCACUCGGUACAAUACCGUCUUUUAAUCGAGCUUGACAGGGUCUCACAUUCUCCCCCACUAAUAAAAAUUCGGUCCCCGAAUUUAAAUUCAAUGUAGAGUGGCUUACCUUUACAUAUCGAAGAGGUGUGGAUGCUUUGUCCGCAUCUCAUCCUCAGCUUCCCACGUUACCUCCUCGCUAGUGUGAUUCCGCCACAACACUUUCACUGAGGCUACAUCCUUUGAACGGAGCUUUUUAACUUGCCUAUCAAGGAUAGCUACCGGUUGUUCCUCAUAGGUUAGAUCAUUUUGCAACUGAAUAGUUUCAUACCGUAUUACAUGUGAUGGAUCUGGGUUGUACUUCCUAAGCAUGGACACAUGAAACACGGGAUGAAUAUUAGAAAGGUCUGGCGGUAAUGCCAAACGAUAAGCCACCGCUCCAACCUUUUCUAAGAUCUCGAAUGGCCCUAUAUACCGAGGACUUAACUUCCCUUUCUUGCCAAACCUCAUUACCCCUUUAGUUGGCGAAACUUUCAAAAAUACAUGAUCUCCUACUUGGAACUCCAAGUCUCUCCGUCGGUUAUCAGCAUAUGAUUUCUGUCUACUUUGUGCUGUUAACAUCCUCUGACGGAUCAUGUGUAUUUUCUCGGUUGCAUCCUGCACCAAUUCAGGCCCCAAAAGUUUCCUUUCUCCCACCUCUAGCCAUCCAAUGGGUGACCUACAUCUUCGUCCAUAUAAGGCCUCAAAUGGUGCCAUUUGGAUGCUAGUUUGGAAACUGUUGUUGUAGGCAAAUUCCACUAAGGGUAGAUAUUGUUCCCACCUGACACCAAGGUCUAUCACACAAGCCCUCAACAUAUCCUCCAAUGUCUGUAUGGUCCGUUCAGAUUGUCCAUCAGUCUGAGGGUGGAAAGCUGUGCUGAAAUCCAACUUAGUGCCCAAUGCUUCUUGCAACUUUCCCCAAAACCUACUAGUAAACUGAGCUCCUCUGUCAGAUACUAUAGAAAUGGGAAUACCAUGUAGUCGCACUAUCUCAUCCACAUAAACUCGAGCAUAUUGGGCAGCCCCAUAAGUAGUCUUAACCGGAAGAAAAUGAGCUGACUUUGUUAACCGGUCCACUACUAUCCAAAUUGAAUCAUAUCCCCCACUGGUUCGAGGCAAACCCGUUACAAAGUCCAUAGCAAUAUGUUCCCACUUCCACUCGGGUACUGGUAAUGGCUGUAGUAGCCCUGCAGGCUUUUGAUGCUCGGCCUUAACCUGCUGACAAACCAGGCACUUGGAGACAAACUCAGCUACAUCUCUCUUAAGUCCUUCCCACCAAUACACCUCUUUCAAAUCUUGAUACAUCUUUGUAGCCCCUGGAUGUACCACAUAAGCUGCCAUGUGAGCUUCCUCCAAUAUUUCUCUCCUCAACCCGUCACCAUCAGGCACAUAAAGUCUGGUUCCAUACCUCAACACUCCAUCUGUGCCUUUAGUAAACAUUUUUCCUUUCCUACCCUGAGGAUCCUCUAAGGCCUUAGUCACAAACUCAUCUUUACUUUGUGCUUCUUUAAUCCUGUCCAUUAAAAUAGGCCUCACUCUAAAGUGUGCUAGCAAAGCAUUUGUCUCCGCAACUUCCAAACGCACACCUAUGUCUCCCAAGCUAUGGAUCUCUCUAACCAAGGAUCUCCUACCAGUGGAAAUAUGUGCCAAGCUUCCCAUUGAUUUUCGACUCAAGGCAUCCGCCACUACAUUGGCCUUACCGGGAUGAUAAAGAAUAGUACAAUCAUAAUCCUUUAGCAACUCCAUCCAUCUACGUUGCCGUAAGUUAAGAUCCCUCUACUGAAAUAUAUACUUCAGACUUUUGUGGUCUGUGUAUAUCUCGCAAGUCUCACCAUACAAGUAAUGUCUCCAAAUCUUUAAGGCAAACACGAUUGUUGCCAUUUCCAAAUCGUGUAUGGGGUAAUUCUGCUCAUGCCUUUUAAGUUGCCUAGAUGCAUACGCAAUCACCUUCCCAUGUUGCAUUAAUACACAUCCUAAACCAACCCCCGAUGCAUCACAAAACACCGUGUAACCCCUUGUGCCUUGCGAUAGGCUUAACAUUGGAGCUGUGGUGAGACAUGCCUUAAGCUUCUGAAAACUAUUCUCACAAGCAUCAGAUCACUCAAAUUUUGUAUCUUUACGUGUCAGCUUAGUCAAAGGGGCAACUAUUUUGGAGAAGUUCUUCACAAAGCGAUGAUAAUAGCCAGCUAAACCCACAAACCUUCUAAUCUCCAUAACUGAUGUUGGCCUUGGCCAUUUUUCCACUUCUUCAAUUUUCUUUGAAUCAACUUGUAUCCCAUCCUUAGAUACCACAUGCCCCAAGAAUGGAACACUUUCGAGCCAAAACUCACACUUGGAGAACUUAGCAUGCAAUUGAUGUUCUCUCAAAAUUUGGAGCACUAUCUUAAGAUGCUGCUCAUGCUCCUCUUGACUCUUUGAAUAUAUCAAAAUGUCAUCAAUAAACACCACCACAAACUUAUCCAAAUAAGGUUUGAACACUCGGUUCAUCAAAUCCAUAAAGGCUGCAGGAGCAUUCGUGAGCCCAAAUGACAUCACUAAGAAUUCAUAGUGCCCAUAUCUUGUUAGAAAUGCAGUCUUGGGUAUAUCUUCAUUUCGGAUUCUCAACUGAUGGUACCCAGAUCGUAGAUCUAUCUUAGAAAAACAUUGUGUUCUUUGUAGUUGAUCAAAUAAAUCAUCUAUCCUUGGGAGAGGAUACUUAUUCUUCACCGUCACUUUAUUAAGCUGUCGAUAAUCAAUGCACAGCCUAAGUGACCCAUCUUUUGUCUUCACAAAUAACACUGGUGCUCCCCAUGAGGCUACACUAGGUCGGAUGAAACCUUUAUCCAACAAAUCCUCCAACUGAUCCUUAAGUUCUUUAAGCUCUGCAGGUGCCAUUCUAUAUAGGGGUAUGGAUAUAGGUCUAGUGUCGGGAAUCAAAUCUAUGCAAAACUCAAUCUCCCGUUCAGGAGGCAAACCUGGUAGCUCCUCAGGAAAUACAUCCACGAACUCCUUCACCACCGACACUUGAGUUACAUCUCCAAUCUUCGCCUGAGUAUCCUUUACAACAGCCAAGUAACCUAUACAACCUUGUCGUAAUAAUCUUCUGGCAGAUAUGACUGAUAUCAAAUUGGUUGGAGCAUUACUCCUAUCCCCCUGAAUACUAAAUGAUGGUUCACCGGGGGAAUAAAAUCUAACCAAUUUAUGAUAGUAGUCCACACUAGCAUGGCAGGGUGAUAACCAAUCCAUCCCCAAGAUUACAUCAAAUUCUAAGGUGUCUAGCACCACUGGAUUCACAGAAGUGUCUUUGUCCUUGACUCGCACUACACAGGACUCAUAUUCCCACUCGACCACAAAUAUCUCAUUUAAAGGAGUAGACACCACUAAUUGUUCCUCUCUCCUAACACGAUCUCUACCCAACCGAGAUGCAAAACAUGGAGAGAUAAAAGAAUGGGUAGCACCAGGAUCAAAUAGUACCCGAGCAUUCAUAUUACAAACGGAGAGAAUACCUGAGACCACGGCAUUGGAUGUUUGAGCCUCCUGCUGUGUUAAAGCAAACACCCUCGCCUGGCCUCUACCAACAGAACUUUGAUGUUCGGACCCAGAUGGUCUGCCCUGAGAGGAAGUACCAGCACCUCUACCUCUGGAUCCACUAACCUCCCGACCAGAUGAGACAGCAACUGAAGGAGCAGAUGAAGCUGGCUGGGUGGAACCACGAGCAGAAUCUGGUGAUUGAUGUGCCAUCGGACAAUCCCUCCUAAUAUGCCCAGGUUGACCGCACCCGUAACAAGUUAUUGUAGUAAGGAAACACCGUCCACUAUGUCGUCUCCCACAAGUAUCACAAUAGCGAGCGACUUGACUACUCUGUCUAGAAUCUUGCUGCCUCUUAGAACUGAAGAUUCUCUGUUCCACCCUAAUAUUAGCACCAGGCGCGUCACUCCCCUGCUGAGGUAACCGUGAGUCCCUCUGUGGACCCUGACGGCUAGAAGAUGAACCACCACUGUUGAAAUCUCUACGGCCCUGAUAACCCUCUGUCUUGCCUUUUUUUGCUCUAUCUCUCGCAGCCUUACGCUCACUGGUCCUCAUCUUGAUGCGUUGAGCAUGAUCCACUGCUGCAGAAUAGGUAGUGAAAUCUCGAGAUGCCACAACCCUAAAUAAUUGCUCUACUAACCCAUCCAUAAACCUCUGAAUCUUCAUCUCCUCAGUAGAAACGAGAUAGGGUGCAUAACGAGCUAGUUGCGUGAACUUGAUGUCAUACUCAGACACCGUCAUGCUUGAAGUCUGUACUAAAGUCUCAAACUCUCUGGCUCUGGAAUUACGCACACUGAGUGGUAAGAAUCGAUCAAAGAAGGCUGCACUGAACUCACUCUAGGCCAACGAUGUUGCAUCAGUUGGUCUGCCUCUACAUAAAGAGCUAUACCAUUCUUGAGCCACUUCCUCUAAUUGGAAGGCGGCUAGCUCAACUGACCGAACACUAGAACAUCCCAAGGCUUUACAAAUUUUCUCCAUCUUAUCCAAGAAAACCUAGGGUUUCUCCGAUGCAUCAGACCCUGAAAAUGUUGGAGGCUUAAGCUUGAGGAAGUCAGGAAGAGAAAUAUCUAGAUGUCCCCUCUCGACCUCAUGAUGUUGGCGAUCGGCCUGUCCUUGGGAGCUAGGGGAUUCUUAUACUGUAGGUCUCCCCUCUACUACCCUUUGUAUAUCUUCCGUGCGGGUCGCCAUCAUCUCUACAACCCGGUUAACUCCCUGUAGGCCUAUCGCCAAAUCCUCAAUAGUAAUACCCCUAGCUGGGUGUCUAUCUACAUCACUUGAGGACUGUCCCUCUUCUUGCCUACUCACAAGCAUAUCCGACCUCACCGGCCUAGUGACCCUGCCACGUCUACCUUGGCCUCUCCGAGUGGAUGCCCGUGGUCUAUCUGCCAUCUCAAUGGGAGCAUCUUGCUCCCUUGCCCGUCUUGAGGCGGCUCGUGUUUUAGGCGGCAUUCUUACCUAGACAACAGCAAACACCUGUUAUUAAACACAUAUUAUAAUCAUACUUAAGGCAAAAGGUGGUUUCUAAGAUAGGGAAUCUAUGCGGUCAUUUGGUUGUAAAAUAUUCCGCGGUUCACACAUUACAACUGAAGUUCCCACAUAAAGACCCGACUUUUCACUGGACUAACAAAAAGAAAGUUCUAGGACCUAGACAAACCUAAAGCUCUGAUACCAACAUUGUCAUGACCCAAAAUUUGGGUCAUGACCGACGCAUGGGUCUAAUGGACGUAAUCUACUAAACCCAAGUAAGCCUAUUAUUUAUCUUACUUAUGAUUCUAUUUAUUAUCACUAAGUCCUAUUUCAUGACUUUGAAUCAAAAUAGUGAUAUACAUUGCCAACUCGUACUGGCAUUACUCUUUUAAAAUUUACAUUAAGUUCAUCUAUACAUAACAAAAUAAUACUCGACUUCCAGCGGAGUGACUCGGAUGAAUAUACAGCUACGAAAUACCGAGACACUUACCAAAAGAUGGACACAGGUCUACAAGGACAUCUCGUCCUAAUUAUCGGCUGCCUCGUGAUCUGAAAACAUGAAUUUGAAAAUGGUGAGUAUAAACCUAGUGAGUGAACAAGGAAGGGAACAAGCAACAAUUAGGGAGAAUUUAAAAUCAUGAUGCACUUGUUUCAAAACAAUACAAUUUAGUUCAUUCCUAUUUAAAACCCCUCCAAACCCGAGAGUUUCUCGCUACAGCGAGCAUGAAUUUCGCUGCAAUGAAAACAGAGCAACAAGAGAAACAUUUUUUCUCACUCAACAAAAAGCCAUCCUGCUAAACUAAUAAAAUCAACAUAAAAUUCAUGAAAAUUCUCAAAGUAUAAUGUGUCAAAUUUCACGUACAUUACAACCAUAAAUCAUUGUCCAUCAAUUUGCUAUAACACACACAUUUACAUAUGUAUAUAUAUAUAUAUAUAUAUAUAUAUAUAUAUACGUAUAUACCCAUCAUCAUCAUCUCACCAACCCAUCAUCAUCAUCACCAGCUCAUCAUCAUCAUCACCAGCUCAUGCGCACUCCCUACUCGCACAUGGCUGGGUCAUCACCGGGUUAUGCGCACUCCCUACUCGCACAUAACCGGGUCAUCCUCGGCUUAUGCGCACUCCCUACUCGCACAUAGCCGAGUCAACAUAAUUACACAACAUUAUAUUCAAGCAUAUAUGUAUAUCAACAUAAUGCAGCCACAUAGAAAUCCAUAAUAACCACAUUUCAUAACAUAAACCUUUUCUCAAAAGCUUGUUCCCAAGGCAUUCAUUUUCAUGAAAAAUUGCAUAAAAUCAUUCAAACACUUUGUUCAAAACAGUCAUAUUCCCAAAACAAUUUUGAUAGGCAGUCCACUCACAGGUGUCGAAAAUCCGGAUUCCGGGUGAACUCUGACUAAUAGUCCUCAAGCGCAAUUCCUUUGCCUUUUCCGGACGUCUCACCACCUUGACAAAUAACAAAGUCGAGGAAUUUACUAUAUUGUCCCUAAAUUGAUAUAAAUUAAUUUAAAUUACUAAUGCUUGAUAUGUAAAUGCAAAAAUAUGUCCGAUUACCGCUUAAUCACGGUAUCGAUUAAAUUCGACCGAUCACCCGAUUAAUCGGCGAUUGUGUCCAAAUCACCUCCAAAUUAAUUCAUUUCUCCUCUAAUACCUUAAUUUACCACAUACAUUUAAAUAAAGCCAAAUUCAGCAUUAGAACCCUCACAAUUCCUUAUAGAAAAAAUUUGGUCAUUUGGUGCACUAGCAUCGAAUUUUUUUCUACAUAACCGUUUCACCUUAAUUCAUCAUUUUCCAAGCCAUUUUCCUUGAAAUAAAAACAAUCCCCCAUUGAUAUUCAGCCCUCAUGGUUCGACCAACAAGGAACCCUAGAGAAAUUGAAUAUUUCUUUUGUGUUUUUGUUCAUAACCAUGCUUAACUAUCCCUAAACACUAACAUAGUCUAAAAUCAAAUUAUUCCAACAACAAUUCCUCUUCCAUACCCAUUUUUCAGAAUUGAAUUCAUCAUGAUAACUCAAUAUUCAACCAUGGAAAUCAAGAACAAAAGCAUGGGUAAGCUAGGUAUCAAGGAGAAUUAAAGAAAUUUUAACUUACCUAGCUUGUUUCCUUGAUUUCUUCACUUUUUCUUUGAAUUUUCACCUAGGUUUUCUUGUUUUUCCUUUUGUUCUUCCUUUUUU